GCACUCAUAAUUGGAUGUAUGAGAUGCAGUCCACGAACUAUUCACAAGCGCUGGGCGUGCUGGCGCACGCCUGUGAGCCUAUGAUCCCAGCACUCGGGAGGCUGAGGCAGGAGGAUCACUGCAGAAUUCGAGACCCGCCUGGGCUACAAGGUGAGCUCAAGGCCAGCCUGAUCUGCAUAGCGAAACCCUGUCUCAAAAACAAACAAACAAACAAAAAAAAACUAUUCAGAAGCUCCAAGUGAAGAGAGGUUAUGGGUCCUGCCAGCAGGUCUGGCACGUGGGACUCCAGCUGGGCCAGGGGUCUUCCUCUUAUCUAAGUGGCAGGCCUUAGGACCAAGGGCGGGGGUUGCCCAGCCCCUGCCGAUGGAGGGGAGUGGCCCCACAGCCACAACUACGACCUACCUUACUAGUACUAGAGAACUGGGGGGCGGGGGGGAGCCCUGAGGGAGGGGACCCCAUUUUGGCUGGCUGUGCCUUAGACAGUGCGGUCCCGCUUGGCCCCCGAAUUAGUGUCAGAAACGAACUACUAGACACCCCGUCGGUGUGAGAAGGAAAAUGCCCUUGGGGGGUGCACCCCGAGGAAGGCCGCCCCCCCCACCCGCGGAGCUCGGGGAGACGCGAGAGAAAACGCCGCUCAGGCGCCCGCCGCCCGCCAGGGGGCGCAGCGCGAGGGGUGCGGCGCCGCUCGGGGGCGCUGAAGCGGGUCGGGCGCCGCGAGCCGAGGCUUCGGGCCUCUCCACGGAGUUAUGGCCGGGGGCCAGGGAUCAAGUCACACAGCGGCCCCUCGGACAGGCGGGGCGCAGCGGGAGCGGCCGGGAGACGCCGCCGGUGGGCUCCGCUCCGCCCCUCCGCAGGGCCCCGCCGGCCAGUGCGCACGCGCGGCGCGCAGGUCCCCGGCGCCCCGCCCCCGGGCUCGCGGCGUUUGGCGGACGCUGUUGCGCAGCAAGUGAAAGUAAAUCCCUUAUCUGUAAUGACGAGCCAGGAAAAAACAGUAUGCAAAUACUACGCAACACGUGUCCCAGGAGAGGAAUUGCACGGUACUUUGAGAUACCGCUUUUGACACAGUCUGCAAAGAAGGCGGAGGGAAGCGGGCUCUGCUGCGGGAACGGCACAGCCCGACAGAGGGAGCCCGGGAGCAUCUCACCACACUUCCGGUGCGUUUCCCCUUCCCCGGCGCGUUGCAGGGCUGAGAAAUUUCCCUGAAGAAACGCCUGCCCCAGCAGGAACCUGGAUGUAUGCAGGAGGUCACUGGUGGCAGGUGUGCCAGCGUUUGGAUUGGCUGAGCGAACUCCUGCGCGUCCACACGACGCACCACAUUGUGCACUGCGUGGUUGUGAAACAGAUCUUUGAGAGCUGAAUGAUUUCCAGGGUAUACUGAUUAGUGUAAGGGUGCUAAAUAAAAGAGCACUGACUAAUGCCAUUUUGUGUAUAAGAGGAGGGCAUGUACCGUCCUGAGCCCCGCUAAAAAAAGCAGCUUUGGCAGUGAUGAAAUCUGGCAGGUAUCGUCUCCAUCAUUUGGUCAGUCAACAUCACCAAUAAGGGCGGGACUGACAUUAUGUGGCCAAGGUGUGCGCUCUGAACUGGAUCACAAAGAAACCGACUGAGGGACCAAGUAAUGGGCCGGAUUCCCAAAAGUCAGGCUCCACAGCAGGACGUGGUGGUGCACGCCUAUAAUCCCAGCAUUCUAGAGGCUGAGGCAGGAGGAUCACUGAGUUUGAGGCCAGCCUGAACUACAUAGCAAGAUCCUAUCUCCAAAAACCAAAGAGAAAAAAAAGUCAAGGGGCGAGAGGUAUAGCUCAGCGGCACAAGUGCCUGCCCGGCAAGUGCAAAGUCCUGAGUUCAAUUUCCGGUACCAAAAAAAAAAAAAAAAAAAAAAGGAUCAAAAAAGUCAAGAUCAUUUAAGAUUAAGGGAAGAAACUGUUCUGAAUUAAAGGGGAAUAAGAGAUAGGCCAGCGAAAUGGCACAUGGGUCCUUGGACUGGGGAAAGUAAUACUGCUAGGAGUGAUGUCCUUGCUUAGUCUGUUUUCUGUUGCUAAAACAGAAUACCGCGGACGCAUAAUUUAUAACGAAGAGUUUACUUAGCUCGUGGUUCCGGAGGCUGGGAAGUCCAAGGUCACAGCUGCUGUGUCUGGCCAGGGCCUUUGUGCUGUAUCCUAUAUAGCGAAGGGUGACACCUAGCAAGAGGCAAAAGGCGCUCGCUCUGAGGAUCAAGCCACUCCCAGCAGAAGGCCACACCCUACUCUCCACCCAAACACCUCCCCAGGCCACGGCCAGGAAGGGGCAGGAACCAGAGCAGGUGUUUCGUGGAAAUUAUUGCAGUUGGCAAAAUACGACUCUGGGCUGAAAGGUGGAUAUUAGCACAGGAUCCGUGUACGAUUCUGAGUUGGAUCCUCGAAGUGUGGUUGAGCAGGAGAAAUGCCCAUACACCCUGCAGUACUUAGGGGUCAAGGGCCAUGAUUUCUGCAACUUAAUCUCAGAUGGCUCGGGAAGGAAACGCUCAGUAUGUUCCCUAUUUGUUGAUCAUUUCGAAGUUCCUAGUUGUAGUGGAUUGAUAACUGGUGGUCAGCUUAACCCCCAGCUGAGCAGAGUAAGCGUGGUGCUGGGUGUGGGAGCCCACCUGCGGACUGUUGCCAGCAGCAUAAGAGGCAGACCUGGAGAAGAAGUGAGGCUGUCCGGAGCUGGUGGAAGCUGUAAGGAGCUGUUGGUUGACUUGAAGGAGCUCAUCAUGCUGGCUUUCCUGAGGCUGUUUUCAUCCUCUGAGGAGGUCGGGACGUUGCGGGCACUGAGAAUGGCUUUGGUUCACUUUGGGGGAGCUCUGGUCCUCACUGUGAGCAUCGCUUCCUGGCUCUGGAGGCGAAGAUGGUGCACUACUCCAUCUCCUGGAGAAGCGUGUCGCAUUGGCUUCCCUGAUGGGAACUCGGCCAUCCUGAUCAUCAGAGGAGCUCGGGACUUCACUGUUGCUGAGGAUGGCUGUGGUACCUUCCGGGGGCGCUCUGGUUCUCCUGAGCGUCGCUUCCUGGCUCCAGUGCAGACCCCUCAGCCUGCUAGCACAGAUCCUUCAUCCCGCUGGGACAGAUUUCCUAGAUUCCACCACUGACCUUUGGGCCUUCUGAGCACAGAUCUGUGAAACAGGCCUGCAUGAGAUACUGUUCUGGGCUCUGGGCCUCCAGGUGGACUCGUGGGAAGCACUGUUAUGAGCUCUGGGUUUUCAGCUGGACUCAUGCAGGACAUUUCCAUGGGAUCCAGGCCCUCGGCCAGUUUCCUUGGUCUUAGUGUGUGGACAGAUUUCCUGCACUCUUUUGUAUAUCAUUCUUUGGGUGACUAUUAUAAAUAUCUUAUAAGAUAUAUGUCCUGUAUUAUAUAUUGUUCCCCUUGUACAAAGUAACCCCCAAACCAACACACUAGUUUAAAAAAAAAAAUCAUUCUUGUGAACAGCGUCCCUAUCAACAUUUUUAAAAAUCUGAUUUCCCUCGCUACUGUUUCCAGGGUAAACGCUGGAAUUAUGAAUAGCAGAUUAUAGCACAUGGUCUCAGCGUCAGUGAAAAGAGUGGCUGGCUUCCCUGGAGAGGGGGGCGAGCUGUGAAUAGCAGCAGCUCCUGAGAGCAGCUGCCCCCACUCUGCCGAGGAGAAGACACCCUGCGCCUGACGGGCUCCCCAAAGACCUUUCCGGUUCAUGACACCAUGGUCCCAGGACUGUAGGUCUCAUGCAGGCCUCAUCCCCUGAGUGUAGACUUUGGACAAUGGGCUAUUUGUGAUUAUUGGCUCGUUGCCAGUGGGAGAUUUUCCUCAGAACCACAGGGUGAAGCUUUGUGUGCAGGCUUGUUUAAAGGAGUUGUGUAAAUCAGUAUGAAUCCAAAGUCUAAAAGAAAAACUAUUUGACCUAAAAAAACUGAGUUGAAAGCAAAUUUAAAAAAAAAAACCACUGCUAAUGGUAGUGUGACUUGCUCCAGCUAUUUUGUUUUGUUUUGUUUUUUUGAGACAGAGUCUUGCUAGGUAGUCCAGGCUGGCCUCAAACUCACAGCGAUCUUCCUGAGUCAGCCUCCCAAGUUCGGGUAUUACAGGUGUGCACCACCACACCCAGUGCUCUAGCUACUCUGCAAAACAGGUUAGAUUUAUCUGUUAAAGCUGAACAUUAGCUUGGCCUAUGCCAAAUUCCCCUCCUAGGUCCAUAUCCAGAAAAAUGCCUGCCUGUGGGCUGCAGGACUGAUAACUGGACGUGUCAGAGCAGUCAGACUGGAAACAAUGCAAUGCCCAACAGUGAGGGAAUGGGUAGAAAAAUAUGGUGUAGUCACACACAGGCUGUUGUAUAGCAAUGAGAACCCAUAAAGUGCGGCUAUGCCCAAGGGUCUGUAGGACUCUUAGAAACAUUGAGGGGAAAGAAUGAAAGGCUCCGAAGUUUACUUAUUGAUUAACAUUAUUUUUAAAAGUAAAAAAUCAGCCAGGUGUGGUGGUGCAUGCCUGUAAUCCUAAACAGGGGAGGCUGAAGCAGGAGGAUUGCUGCAAGUUGGAGCCCAGCCUGGGCUCCAUAGUGAGUUCAAGGCCAACCUAAUCUACAAAGUGAGACCUUGUUUCAAAAAAAUGACACAUAAUCCCAGCACUCAGAAGGCUGAGGCAGGAGGAUCGCUGCAAGUUGGAGAUCAGCCUGGGCUACAAAGUGAAUUCAAGGUCAGCCUAAACUGCAUAGUGAGACCCUGUCUCAAAAAGACAAAAACAAACAACCCCCCUGCCCUGCCACAAACCAAAACAAAAUGAAACAAAACAAAAAUAUAAAAACCUACAACAAUUUAUUGGAUAUACUUGUUUGUAUUUAAGACUCAGUUUUUAAAACAAUGGAGUGAUGAAUGUAAAACUAAGGCCAGGAGCCAGGGGGUUACAAUUAAACGAGCAGCGGAGAUGUAUGAGCAAUAUUCUCUUAAAUUGGGGGAGGUACUUUGUUCAUUUUAAUACUAGGCUUUGCACCCUGUCAUCUAGGUUACAGAAGUUCUAGCAAAUGUACUGAAUAACAUAUUACAUAUCAAAAACCGCUGGUAACCCCAUUCCUCCAAGGUAUACACCGUGUGCUGCGUUUGCAAAUAACAAUGUAGAUAUAGUCAGAAAACCAUUACAUUUUUUAGAACUGGAAGAGACUUUCAAGAUGGUCAUCUAAUCUAAAAUGUAACCAUUUAAAAUUAUUUUUUUUUAUAAGUUUAUGUGAGAAAGUAAAAGUGAGGAGUGGGGGAGAAACUGGCUCUGCAGAGUGAACUUGAGCCAAGUAAACAGAAAAAGAGGGCGAGAGCAAAGAUAAAAGUACGCGCUGCUGCUGGGAAACACAGCGUGGGAAAUCGUGGAAAGCCACCAUAGACACCAUUUAAAAAUUAUAACUACUAACCGGGUGUGGUGGCACACGCCUGUAAUCCCAGCACUCGGGAGGCUGAGGCAGGAGGAUCCUGUGAGUUCGAGACUAGCCUGGGCUACAAAGUGUGUUCAAGGCCAGCCUGAACUGCAUAGCAAGACCCUGUCUCAAAAAGGCAACAACAACAAAAAAAUUAUAAGUACUAGCAAAUAUCACAGUUUGGGAAAUUGAAGUGGACUUUUUAGGUUAAAAUCAAUGGCAAAAGUCAGGAAAGAAAAAACUGGAGAGGUUUUAGUUAAUUAAAAUUGUGUGUGUGUGUCUUGGGGGGUACUGGGAAUUGAACUCAGGACCUUGUGCUUGCUAGGUAGGUGCUGUGCUGCUGAGCUAUAUCACUGGCCCAAGUUAAUUAAAAUUUUAAAAUCAUGGAUUGAAUCAUUGUAAGCAAAAUUAAGCCAAAUGAUCAACUGGGCUAAAAAUCUGUCACAUCUAUGACAGCCUAAGGAUUAAUAACCCUACAAUAGAAAGAACCCAUAUAAAUCAAUAAGAAAAGUACUAGUAUCAAAAUCAGUGUUAAUGCAUAACAGAAAGCACACAGCCAAGAAAACAGUUGAGAAAAAAACAGUUUUCCUAGCAAUCCAGAUUUUAAAAAGCAAGCCUAACCUUUUAUUAAAGAGAGCAUUUGGAGACUUGGGGUGCAGCUUGACGGUAGAACAUUGCUCAGCGGGUGCCAGGGGAUUGGGUUCAAAUCCUUGUGAGAGCAGACUGGGAGAGAUUGACAGAGAGAUUUCAUUUUUCAGUAAUCAAAA
Molecule: long non-coding RNA, 6138 nt
Organism: Chinchilla lanigera (long-tailed chinchilla)
Lineage: Eukaryota; Metazoa; Chordata; Mammalia; Rodentia; Chinchillidae
Source: Ensembl